CCCAGUAAAGCCAAGAAAAGCAGAGCUCCCGUCUCGUACCUUUUGCAUCAUGAUUUAACAAGUACAACCAAGCAAAAAGCAUUUUAGUUUGGCCCCCCGAAACCAAGUGAGCUACUCCAAGACAACCUAUAAUUAGGGUAAACCCGUCUCUGUGGCAAAAGAGUGGGAAGAGCUUCGAGUAGAGGUGAUAGACCAAUCGAACUUGGUAAUAGCUGGUUGCUUGAGAAAUGAAUAGAAGUUCUGCCUCUUACAUUCUCACCUCAAACCCGGGCAAUAACAGCCCGACCCACAGGUAAAUGAAGGCAAGAGAGUUAAUCAAAGGGGGUACAGCCCCUUUGAGACAAAAUACAACUUUCCCAGAAGGGUAAAGAUCAUAAUUUUUAAGGUAACUAUGUUUUGGUGGGCCUAAAAGCAGCCACCCCAUUAGAAAGCGUUAAAGCUCUAACAUACCUCCUCCCUCGAUCCCGAUAACAAAUCUUAACCCCCUAGAUAUAUCAAGCCGUCCCAUGAACACAUGGGAGUGAUUAUGCUAAAAUGAGUAACCAGAGAACACCACUUCUCUCCCUGCACACGUGUAAAUCGGAGCGGACCCCCCACCGAAAUUUAACGGCCCCAAAUAACAGAGGGCAUUGAAUGAUAAACAACAAACAAGAAAAUCAUCCAAAAUAAUACCGUUAACCCCACACUGGUGUACUACAAGGGAAAGACCAAAAGGAAAAGAAGGAACUCGGCAAACACCCCUAAGCCUCGCCUGUUUACCAAAAACAUCGCCUCUUGUUAACUACACAUAAGAGGUCCUGCCUGCCCUGUGACCCCUGGUUCAACGGCCGCGGUAUUUUGACCGUGCAAAGGUAGCGCAAUCACUUGUCUCUUAAAUGAGGACCUGUAUGAAUGGCACAACGAGGGCUUAACUGUCUCCUUUCCCCGGUCAGUGAAAUUGAUCUUCCCGUGCAGAAGCGGGGAUCCUAACAUAAGACGAGAAGACCCUAUGGAGCUUUAGACUCCAAAACAGAUCAUGUAAACUACCCCCAUAAAAUAGGUAAUAACUAUUGAAUCUCUGUUUCCCUGUCUUUGGUUGGGGCGACCACGGGGAAGAAAAAAACCCCCAUGUGGACCAGGAGCACAUACUCCUACAACCAUGAGCCACAGCUCUAAUGCACAAAACCUUUGACCAUUAGAUCCGGCAAAGCCGAUCAACGGACCAAGUUACCCUAGGGAUAACAGCGCAAUCCCCUUUAAGAGUUCAUAUCGACAAGGGGGUUUACGACCUCGAUGUUGGAUCAAGACAUCCUAAUGGUGCAGCCGCUAUUAAGGGUUCGUUUGUUCAACGAUUAAAGUCUU
RNAcentral lists this ribosomal RNA (1341 nucleotides) under Chelon tricuspidens (striped mullet). Its description in RNAcentral is "partial 16S ribosomal RNA". It matches the Rfam family "Bacterial large subunit ribosomal RNA", at positions 583 to 2597 of the family's 2925-position model. Lineage: Eukaryota; Metazoa; Chordata; Actinopteri; Mugiliformes; Mugilidae. The record is from RNAcentral.